UACAGAGGGGGCAAGCGUUGUUCGGAAUUACUGGGCGUAAAGGGCGCGUAGGCGGCCUGCUAAGUCGGACGUGAAAUCCCUGGGCUCAACCCAGGAACUGCGUCCGAUACUGGUUGGCUUGAAUCCGGGAGAGGGACGUGGAAUUCCAGGUGUAGCGGUGAAAUGCGUAGAUAUCUGGAGGAACACCGGUGGCGAAGGCGACGUCCUGGACCGGCAUUGACGCUGAGGCGCGAAAGCCAGGGGAGCAAACGGG
Molecule: ribosomal RNA, 253 nt
Filed under: uncultured bacterium
Lineage: Bacteria
Description: partial 16S ribosomal RNA
Rfam family: Bacterial small subunit ribosomal RNA
Source: RNAcentral